RNAcentral lists this ribosomal RNA (775 nucleotides) under uncultured Neocallimastigales. RNAcentral's name for it is "partial large subunit ribosomal RNA". It matches the Rfam family "Eukaryotic large subunit ribosomal RNA", at positions 24 to 633 of the family's 3401-position model. The record is from RNAcentral. Lineage: Eukaryota; Fungi; Neocallimastigomycota; Neocallimastigomycetes; Neocallimastigales.
UUAUGUGAUCGUCUCUCGCAUAUCAAUAAGCGGAGGAAAAGAAACUAACAAGGAUUCCCCUAGUAACGGCGAGUGAAGCGGGAAGAGCUCAAAUUUGAAAUCUUAAAGGGUUUCCCUUUACGAAUUGUAGUUUAAAGAAGUGUUUUCUGUUGAGGUUUUGGUAAAAGUUCUUUGGAAUAGGACAUCAUAGAGGGUGAGAAUCCCGUAUUUGACCUUUACUUUCAACUUUGUGAUACACUUUCAAAGAGUCGGAUUGUUUGGGAAUGCAGUCCAAAAUGGGUGGUAAAUUUCAUCUAAAGCUAAAUAUUGGCGAGAGACCGAUAGCGAACAAGUACCGUGAGGGAAAGAUGAAAAGAACUUUGAAAAGAGAGUUAAACAGUACGUGAAAUUGUCAAAAGGGAAGCGUUUGACACCAGUGUUGUUUUUCUGAAAAUCAAUUAAAGAACUGUUUAUGCUAAGUUGUUUAGACUUUAUCAGCUAACUGUUUAGUUUUGAGCUUUUCUUUAAUGCACUUUUCAGUUAACAAGUCAACAUCAAUUUCUUUUGCUGUAAAAAAGCUUGAGGAAGGUGGCUUGAGAUUCGUCUUAAGUGUUUAUAGCCUCUUGCCUAUGCAGUCGGAGAGAUUGAGGUCUGCAGCGUAGAUCCUUCGGGGCUAAAUGCAUUUGUGCUAAGUUAUAGCAUUUUAUAGACAACUUGUUGACUAUGAUUUGUCUUGUAGCUUACUCGCUUAUGUUAUUUUACCUACGCUUAGGAUGUUGAAGACUCUACAGAGAUA